Molecule: long non-coding RNA, 7545 nt
Filed under: Cinara cedri
Lineage: Eukaryota; Metazoa; Arthropoda; Insecta; Hemiptera; Aphididae
Source: RNAcentral
AAUUGCAUUAACUUAAAUUAAACUCAAAUUGUUUAUAAUUUCAGCUAUUCCUGGUGUUCCUGGUAAGAAUACAUUUUAUUUUAAUACAAUAGAAUAUUUUUAUACACCCAUAUUGACGUACCUACGGUCACGGGCAGAUAGGGCACAGUUAUGUUUACGAAAACCGUCGGUGGUAGUUGUGGGAACAUUUUUUAAGGGUGGAAAUUUGUAAAUAUCGUUCGACCGGUUACGAUUACAUAUUUAUGUGACGUCAUAUGUUAAUAUUGGAGCAACUUUGUGACUAAGUGACGGUAAUGAUGGAUAUGAAUGAGGUUUGAUCGUGGUCUACGGGAUCAUCGUACAUUGAUACGACACAGUACAACCCGUAUUCUGAAAAGUCACAAUAUAUUUUCUAUAAAUGAGAAGGAAUCUUCUGUUUUAUUUUAAUGGUGUAACUAAUGCAUAUUAAUGAACUUUUUAACAAUAGGAAGACUAGUGAACUUUUUCGUGUUUAUAAUAAAAAGAUCACUGGACUGUCAAUAACUAUUGAAUUUAGAAUUAUACUCGUAUACAGUGAUUUUCAGUUUGGUCCAACAGUUUUUCAGAAUAUUGGAUUCUGUAACCAUAUGUUAGUGUUGGCAUUAUGUAUAUUUUAACACGUAUAGUUUCAUUUUUUUAAAGAAAGACUGCGGAUUGUUGAGAAGAGGCUAUGAUUGGUAUCAUUUGUUAUGUUCAUUUUAAUAUAUUAAAUUAUAUUGGUAAUAGGUAUAAAUUGAGAAGUGUCUAUCCAAUGUUGUUUUGAUUUAUUAUGAUCUUCUAAUUUUUUAAUCAUAAUUUAAAGAAAAUAAUACUGUCGUCCUUUCAUAAUAAUGUAAAACGUAAUACCUUAAGUAUGAAGAAUACUGAAAAAACUAUUCAGUUUUUCACUCUAUUAAAGAUGUUGGAGACAGUGUGGUUUUAGUAUAAAAACAUUUCUUACAGGAAACACUCUCACGCUCGGUAGUAUUGUCGGAUUUGGUUAAAAUUUUUUUUAUUUAAAAGAAAAUAAUAUUUCGCUGGUCGGAUCAAAUCUCGAUUUUCAAAAUUAUAAUUUAAGAAGAUAAAAUAUGCAUUUUAAUAAUACAUAAUAUUUGUUAUUUGUUUAACACUAUUUAAAGUAAAAUGAAGAUUUGGACUUUGAUCUGAUCUGCAAUAAGUUCUCAUAUUUUAGAAAAAAAAAUUGUCAAAAUCCGAUGUAUAAACGAGGCGUGAGAGUUUGGCCUGUAAAAUAAUGUUUGUUCGUUUAAAUCAGUGGUUUUCAAACUAGGUGCCGCGGCACACUGGUUAGGUUAAGUUAACCUAACCGUGCCGUGGUCUUUUGAAAUUUGUUUUCCCUAAAUUGUGACGAAAUGCCGGUUUCGGUGAUCCGCUUGUUAAAUAUGAAAUCGUAACUCUUUUGAUUAUAACUCGUUUCAGUAUGACUCAUCAAUUUUGUUAUUAGUUCUAAUUGUAUCCAAAAAAAAUUAAACAAUGCCAAAAAAAAAAUUCACAGUGUGCCGUGAAAAUAUGAAAAUCAACGUGUGCUGUGGUUAAAAUAAGUUUGAAAACCAUAAGUCUAAAUAUUGCUUCGAUAAUGAUUGAAGUCGAUUCAUUACCUUGUGCGUGCGUGUGCGUAAUUAUCCUUAUCUGCAUGUGUGUUUGUGUCACCACUCACCAACCACAAUCAAUAUUGCAUUUGCGUAUUCCAAUUUACAAUAAAGUUAAAAAUUACUUAUUUUUGAUGAUGCGGCGUUAUAGGUAGUACCUAUAUUUUUAUAAAUUACAGAUAUUAUAAUAACUAUCCAUAAUCAUGUAAUUAUAAUAAGGUAUGAAAAUAAUAUGAGAAGAAAAAUAAAAUAUAUACUAGUGCCUAUAUAAUAAUAAUACAUGACUAAUUACAAUAAUAAUAAUGAAUUAUUAAUAGUUCAAAUAAUUUCCAUUUAUUUUAAAAUUUUAGGAUCUACAAUUUCUUGUAAUAAAUGACAAAUAUUAUAUAAUUUGACCAAAUUGUAUGUUUCCAUUUUAUCCUUCCAGAAGUCGUCGUCACGCAUUAUUAUUUCUACAAACAUAUCUAAAAACAAAAACUGUAUAUAUUUAAAUAGGAACUUUGAAUUAAAAAAAAAUAAUGUAUGUAGUUUGUAUUGUACUAUAUGUACCCACAAAUAACAAAAACCUUAGUUUUUAAUGUGUUCGUCAAAUUAUAAGAACAUUUGGUUAUAAUAUAUUAUUGUUUAUUACCUUUUGGAGUCCAAACUAUAAAAUAACACGAGCAUUUUAUUAGCUACUUUUAAUUUAUUCUGAAUCUGAUAGUAAUAGUUAUAUACUACGAGAUAGUAAUAACUGCAGAUCACCAUUGCUAUUGAUGUUUAAAAAUGUAAUUUGUUUAGUCAUAACUCCCUAGAGAGAUGUCAUAUCUUUACUGUUAUGGGGACAUUUUAUUUCAAUCAUUUCAUUUUCUCCCACCAAUCCAUCUGAGAGAACUAGCUAAAAAAUUAAAUUGCUCGUCAACAAUUAAUAAACUAAUUUGUAAAACUUUAGCAUUGAAUAAAGAUUCAAAUGUUUCAAUGUUUUCAUUAUAUUUCAUAUCUGUUGACAAGCAGACAGACAGAUAUAUGUGCUAAAAUCCAUUUUUAUAUACAUAUAUAUAUAUAUAAUAUAGUAUAUUAUAUUAUAUAUAUAUAUAUAUAUAAUUAUAUAGAUGUAUAUUAAUAUUACAUGUGGAUAAACUAUGUAAUAUUCUUACGUUAUUGGAGUCCUCGAUGUAAAAUCUUUGGCGUACAAUAUAUAAUAUUUGACAGUAUCAGUCCGAGGAUUAAUUUUUUUGAGUUUACAUACUCUACCAAAAUUUGCAGCAGUCAACCGAUGUUAUAUUUUAGUAUGCCAAGUAUCACAUAGAAAUGACAUGCUUAACAUGGUUGUGGUAGUGGCCGAUGCUACCUGGGGGGGAUGCGCACCGCCGAACGAAAACUGGUCACGAAAGCGGUAUGUUCUCUUUUAAAACAGGGUAUCGUUAUUGGACAGAUCAUAAAUUAAGCUAUCUGAAUAAAAAGAUACAAACAUUUUUGGCCACACAAAUAUCUCGCCACAAACCACAGUUCUCUAUUUCAGACGCAAAAUUUAUACUAUCAGAGUCAGCUUUAUAAAAAUAUCUAAAAUUAUAAUAAUUAUUUUUGAUAAAAUAAAAAGAUCCUUUAAGGUUAUCUCUGCUUGCACACAAACUAAAUAAUACUUGUUUCUGAUUCUUAAAAAAAGAAAUUUUAGGUUCUGAGUAGAGCAAGAAAUGUAUUGGUUUUACAAAAAUAUAUAUUUUUUUUUACCUGUGAACAACUCUCCUACUAAUGUAUUAGUAAAAUAUUACGGUCUUUUUUAAUUGUGGACAAUUUUUUUACCAUCAAUUUCACUUUGAUUUACAAUGAUAGCACUUUUUCUAAAAGGAAAUCUGACUAGGGAGGUCUUUUUAAGAGGUCGUUUUUUGAAUUUUCUUAGAAGUUUUCCUAACAAAUGGAAAAAAUCUGAAAAACGGGAAAAUAUACGUAGGUAUUAUUUAAAAAAAGAUGUCCUAGGAUAAUGGUGGCAGUUGUAGACACUAUUAUAGGUGAGAAGUUGGGAGUGUAGUAGAUGAAAACUUUAAUGUAUAUCAGUAAACAACUAUUAACCAUUCCUAACGAAAAAACGAUUCUGAGAGGAAUUCAGUUGAUAGUGUUGCCUUGUCAACACUAUGAAUAUAUCAUAUUAUGGUAAAAUAAUUACAAGUGCAUUAAAUAUUUCCUUUAAUAAUAUUUGUUUAAUAUUGUACCUAUUUUCCCGUUUUUCAUACGUUUUUCCCAGUUUUUCUAUUUAUUGGGAACUCCUGGGAAAAUAAAAAAAAAGCCAUCCUGUACCUUUUCAGACUGAUUUCCUUUCAGAAAAAAUCCUAUCGUUGGAGAAAAAUUGCUGGUAAAUAAUUGUCCAAAAAAAAAUUUCAAACACUUCAAGUAUCUACAAAUAGUUUUCAUUGAGUUACAAGAAAAAAAUCAAAAUUAAAAAUAAUAAAAGCGUUAUUUUCGUAAAUUUUCAAUUUUUUUCGGUUUUGCUCUAUUUUCAAAAAAAUACUUGGUAAAUCAAAAAAUGACAUUCUGAAUCAUGAACUAAAUUAAAGAUCCUACAAAAAGCGAAUUUUAUUGUUUGUCUAUUGGAGUAAUAUUGCUGGUAGAAAAAAUAAGCCGUACCAAUUUAAAAUAAAAGAAUUCUUACGCCGUAAAUUUACUAGUUAUCAUUUUUUGUUUUUAUCCGGAUUUUCUCCAAAAUUAAGAAAACUACUUGGAAAAUCAAAGUAACUUUUGUCAGAUACAAACUAUAAUAGCCAUCUGUUGCAUAUUAUUAUCUAGAGUUUAAUCAUCUAUAAUAUACUUAUUUUGUAAAAAUUAAAUUGCAAAAACUAGAUAUAUUCUAUCAUAGUUUUCAACUAGUAGCUAAUAAAAAAAAAUAAAAAAAAAAUAGAUAAUUUCUUGAAAAGCAAUAGUAAUUAUGAAUGUAAUAGUGUAAUAGUUUUUAGAUUUGGAGCAUUGCGAGGGAUCUAUUGGUUUUACUAUAUGUGUGUGUGUAUGGUUUUCUAUCUGUAAACAACUUUUUGGAAAGGAAUCUUGCUUCAAUGUAUAAAGUUUAGCAUUUUUUCUGAUCCGACAUAUCAAUUUUUUUUUUUAUUUGAAAGAAGAGAACUUUUCGCAUGUCGGAUAGAAGCCUAAUUUUUUAUUUAACUUUAAAUAGAACUAGAAAAAUACAUUUAAAAAAUACCAAAUAUUGGUAUUAUUCAAAUGUAUAUUUUGGUUUCAUUAAUUAAAAUUAUAAAAAUCGGGUUCAUAAUCCAAUAUAUGAAAUGUCCUAUUUUUAAAUAAUAAAAAAAAUUAACGAAAUCCAACUAUUCCAUAGAUCAUAGGAGGUAAAAGUUUUUCCUGUAAGACAUGUUUUUGUAUUAAAAACGCACCGUCUCCAAGACCCUUAAGUGUAAUUACUCCAGUUUAUAGUUAACGCUAUUACUGAUGCACAAGUCAAUAUUAGGUACUUUUACCUUUCGUCAUAUCAUCUUCAAGUAUAUUGCAUGCACUUGUCUAAAAGCUAUGUCAUCCCAAGCAAUUAUGGAUUUAUUUCCGUAAUUUUGCGAGUCUCCGUCUCGUUCAUUUUGCCAUGCAAUUUUAUUAAUAUGUGUUUUUCAUAGAAAAACUCAUAGAUUUUUACAGAUUUCCCCCCUGAUUUCAAUUUAUUUGAAACAUCAUUUAAAAUUUUCCUGUGUGGUACUUAUUGCAAAUUCGAACUAAAUGUUUAGACAAAUUUUAUAAAAUCAUGGUUUUUAACCCGUAUGGUUUCUUUAUUGAUAAUUUAAACUAAGUAUAUGCGUUUAAUUGUUCAAUAAACAUAAUAAGUUUGGUGGAGGUCUAUACAUUAUUUUAUAAUUAAUGGUUAAAUAAUUCAUGGUUUCUAUAAAUAUUACUUGGUUGAAAAUAUAGUGCAAAAUAAAUAAGUGCUUAGUGUGAUAUUGAAAUGAAUGUUUUAUUAAGUAAAUAAACACAAUUUAUAUAAGUAUUAUUAAAAUAAAUAUUUAAUUAAUACUACAAAUUUAAAAUGUACUAUAGUAAUACAUAUAAAACUAUUUUUAAUUCAAUUCAUAUUUGAUUAAUAAAGGAUUUGAAGAUGAAAGUAAGACAACAAUUUUUGAUAAAAUAAUAUAUAAUAUAUUAUGUUAUAACAAAAUAGCAUACCUACCGUCCUAUUUGAUAUACAUCAAAGAAAACAAAUUAGUAUUAACAGUGGCGUGUGUAAGGGAGGGAGGUUAGGAAGUUUAAUUCCCCUCCGUUUACUUAAAAAUAUAAACAAAUAUUUAAGUAAUCUAAUAUUGAAAUGCUUAUAUUUCGGUCAAGUUACGAAGAAAAGCUUAGUAUUGAUUAGAAAUUUGAUUUUUUUUAGGAUCCGGUUUUUAAAUUACCAAUUACCAUAGUCGAGUCGGAUAAAGAGCAAGAUUUUACGAUUCAUUCACGAUUCUUAUUCACUACAUCCCCUCCCAUCGAUAAUUCCUAGGCACGCCACUGAGUAUUAAUACAAAGUAGUUAGAAAUAAUUAGUUUGCUGGUUAACUACAUUAUAAUAUACCUACAUAAUUACUAGGUUAAUAUUGAUAAUAUAAAAUGUUAUAAUAAUAUAGCCAUUUUUAUUUUCUUAAACUAAAUGAUACGGCAUCGGAGUGUAUAAUAAUAAAAAUACUAAAUUGCAUGUACACUAUAGUUUAUUGAAUCAAAUGCGUCCUAUAGUUUUUUGCGUUAAUGUGGCCAUAAUAUAAUAAUUUAGAUAUAAUCACUUAAUAAAUGAUACGCAUAUACACCUUUUCCGCCACCCAUCACCUCAUAGACCAAUAUGGUGCUGGUCUUUCACCGUUUCUUAUUGGUUUACGUAUUCCAUAUAUUGUGAAUUAAAUCGUGAUACCAAAUAAUACUUUACCUAAUAUCAUAAUUCAAAAAAACCGCCAAAAAUUAUAAUCCGAUCAGAGAUAGCGAAAGACCAGCAUCAUAUUUGCGCAGUUUAAGACAGAAUUAGGCCUAUUGAAAUCAUACCUACAAAAAAAAAAAGCACGCGUCACUUAAACAUGCGGGUUAUCACAGCACGCCGUGCGGCAAUUUCUCGUCGAUGGUUGUUGAACUGUUUCCGGCUAAAUUUUAAAAUUAUCGUGGUAACUCGUAAAUUUACAUUGAACAAUGUACUCGUAUUCAUGUACUUAUUUGGUGAAAUACACGAUUGAAAACAAUACAAUAGGUAAGCGAUAUUGCAGGAGAUGGUCCGAUAAGCGUACGGAACAAAUGUCAAGAACCACAGGUUUAUGGAGAAAUCGUUACAUACGCGCUGUGGUCUCCACCAUGUUUUCGUAACGCGUAUUGUAUAGUUUAUUAUAUCAUGAUCAUAAAUGCAUAACAAUAUUAUUGGCAACCAUUGAAUUGGCUCCCGAUAUUAGGUAAGUACCUCAUCGACCAUUAAAUUGGCUCUUAAGAAACUUAAUAUUGAAUUGGCUCCCAAUAAUAUUUUCAACAAGUGAUUUCAAAAUAUAAAUAUAAACUAGUAGGUAUGCGAAAUUAAUAUUUUUAGCAACACAGUUGCGAAGUACUGCUGGUAAUUAUCUAAAGGUUGUUUCACACUAUACAGAACGUCAGUGUUACGUCACGGCCCGGCGAAAUAAUCUUAUAUGUGUUUUAUAUGACAAUGUUUACAUACACCGUUUACGUCAUGGAUCGUCAACAUCACGGAACGGCAACAUUUAUCGAAAACUAUAUUUUGACGGGACGGAGCAAGUCCGUUAUUAUCUGUUCGGAUAGUAUGAAUGUGUUAGCGGAACGUUUCAGUCAAUAUCAUAUAAAUACUAAAUUUAAUAUAUAUUUAUUUAAAUCAUCGUAUUUUCAUUAUUUUACUAUAGAUGAUGACAUAAUAGUAGAGAAAGCUUUUAUUUUUUUAAGUUUUAACGUCAUUAUGAUAAACUCUACAAUAUGGUUCAGACGUUUAUGCACUUAAAAUAACUGUAAUAUGUAUGGAU